CUACGGGAUGCUGCAGUGGGGAAUAUUGGACAAUGGGGGAAACCCUGAUCCAGCAAUGCCGCGUGUGUGAAGAAGGCCUGCGGGUUGUAAAGCACUUUCGGUUGGGAGGACUGCUUCUAGCACUAAUAUUGUUGGAAGUUGACGUUACCUUCAGAAGAGGCACCGGCUAACUCCGUGCCAGCAGCCGCGGUAAUACGGAGGGUGGCAAGCGUUAAUCGGAAUUACUGGGCGUAAAGCGCGCGUAGGCGGCUAGAUCAGUCGGGUGUGAAAGCCCCGGGCUUAACCUGGGAACUGCAUCCGAUACUGUCUAGCUUGAGUACAGGAGAGGAGAGUGGAAUUCCACAUGUAGCGGUGAAAUGCGUAGAUAUGUGGAGGAACACCAAUGGCGAAGGCAGCUCUCUGGCCUGAUACUGACGCUGAGGUGCGAAAGCGUGGGGAGCAAACAGGAUUAGAUACCCGUGUAGUC
Molecule: ribosomal RNA, 466 nt
Filed under: uncultured bacterium
Lineage: Bacteria
Description: partial 16S ribosomal RNA
Rfam family: Bacterial small subunit ribosomal RNA
Source: RNAcentral